AGCCUCGGAACCCCGCCUCGGCCGGGGGGCCGCCCUCUGGCCGGACCCAGGAAGCGUUCCUUAGGCGCCUGCUGAAGUCCUGGGGCCGCCUCGGGGGCGGGGUCCUGCUCCCUGGGUGGAACGCAUUCUGCCCCAUUUCUGAAGCUUGCUGUGUUCCAGGCCCGACUUGGCCCUUUUUGGGGGGGGGGUCGUGGUUCGACAGGACAUCCCGGCCCUCGAGGCCGGUACUGGGAGUCCUGGGUCUGGCCUGCUCCCCCUUUCCCCAUCCCCUCUUCCAGGAGUCCUCGGUGCAGCCCCCCCUCCAGUCCUCAGUCCGGGCUGCGAGGGCCCCCUGCCCCUUGGUAGGGACCCCGGGAGGUGAGAUGGCAGGCAGCUCCGCGGGCGGCUCCCUCCCUUAAGCAGGCUAAGGAAUGACUACUUGGCUUUCGGAAAGGCUGCGGGGCCCUCCAGUGACAGCUCGCCUCGGUCUCCGCCUCCGUGGAGCGGCCCGACUAGGAUGCCUCCCCCCAGGUUUCCUUCUGAUUCUGCCUCUCCAGGAAGCCUGGACUAAGGGGGCAACGCGGGCUGUGAAGUCGGGGAGCGCUCCUGAGAGUGGGUGAGGCCUCCCAGGCCAGCCUAGGAGGUCUGGAAGUGGCCCCUCCACCGCUCCUCCACCUGCUGCCUGUCCGAGAACCGUCUGGCCCCACACCUCGGAGACCUCUCGGCAGGUCUGCCUCAGCCGCAGAAAUCCACCUUGGCUGCCGCCUCUCCUGUUUCAUCUCCAGCCACACAAUGAACACAUCUUCCUGUUGAAGUCGGAGAGGGACCCCACAAGCUUGGGGGUUACAGACCAGUGUUGUGAGGUGUCUCAAAAGAAGUUGCAGGCUUGAACCCAUAUUCAAGUCAAGGGGCAAAGUUUAUUGUAACUGUCACUGCCAAUUGAAGCAGUCUAAAUUCCAAGAGAAGUUAGGCUGGAGCCUGGAGAGACCCAUUUAUCCAGUUCAUGUUGUUGAUAUGCUAAUUUUAGGGCCUAGAGGUAGAACCCAGGAGUGAUCUCAAGAUCUUGGUUAUCUUUGACCAAUAGACAAGAAUGGUGUAGGACUGUUCUAAGGCCAGAAGACUUAAGUCACUGACAGACACUUUGUUAGAACAAUCGUCUUAGCAUCACUAAUAUAUCUUUCCUAAAGUCUAAGGGAAGAAAGGUUAUUAUAUUCCUAGGUCAGAGGACUUUUAUAAUCAUUGACAGAAGAGUAGCAUUCUUAGAUCAGAGUGCCUCAGAAGAUUUAGAAUUACUGACAGAAGCCCCCUAAGGUCAGGGGACCUUAAAAUUACUGCUGUCUCCCCUAGAGGCUGUAUUACAUCAUUUCCCCUCUCAAGCAGUUGCCCCUCAAAUUCAUUUGGGACAAAGGGAUGGAGAGCUCAUCUUCUGGAGUUGCUUCAUGCUGAUAAGGCUUGUAGAGCUGUCCCAGCCUGGUGGAGUCCACACUGAGGAGGGAAGACAUGUAAAGAUGGCGGUGGCAGCAUUCAGAGGGAUGUUGAGUGUCAGAAUCAGUGAGCCGAUGGUAUUCAGGAAUGGGGUUCAUUCCUGGAAUUAUCCUCAGUGUUUCGGGAAUUUUUCUUGCAGUCUUACAAUGACUAAUUGCCAAACUUCUUAAUCAUUGCUCUCAAAACUUUGAGAAUCUGCUAAGAUGUUGUUUCAAUUUGAAUUAGCUAACAUUUUUUGUAUGGCCCCCAGCUUGGCCAAAGCUGAAGUUCACAGAAAAAAGUUAGACUUUUCAAGAAAUCUUCCCAGCAUUCUAACUAUAGCUGGUUGCAUUUUAAAUCUUUUCAAGUAACAAAAUCUUGCUCACAGAACAAACAUGACACAGAUAUGCAGACACAGACAAAAUGACGUGAAAGAGUGAUGCGGGUGAACUCUGCAAAAAUGAUGUCCCCUUUAAUCUGUAAAAUAAUCACUGAAACUGUGUCCCCUUUGAUCUGCAAAAGAAGAAAGAUUCGGGGUCUCCUAGGCUCCAGAGAGACUGGGAGAAGGCACAUUUUCCAGACAGAGAUAAUCAGCAUCUUCAAUUGGAAACCUCGGGCAAAUCACCCCCCCCAUUGAUCUUUUUGGGUCUUUUUGGAUCUUAGGAAACUCUAAAUUCUGGGGAAAAUCUUCAAAGUAAUUUCAUUCUUUUGGAAGAUUCUGGUCUGAUAAUCAGUUCAAACUGUCCCCAGAUUUGCUCAUAAAAUAGGUUUCAAAGUCAACCUGUUCUUUGCAAAUUUCUUCGUUAAGAAAUUUGCCCACUAAGAGAGAGCUUCUUACUGAAAAAAAUAAAGCUUCCCUUUUGCCACA
This is a long non-coding RNA of Antechinus flavipes (yellow-footed antechinus), 2311 nucleotides long. RefSeq lists it as uncharacterized. The transcript is spliced from 2 exons. The record is from RefSeq and is a predicted model, not a curated record. Lineage: Eukaryota; Metazoa; Chordata; Mammalia; Dasyuromorphia; Dasyuridae.